CCUACGGGGGUCAGCAGUGGGGGAUAUUGCACAAUGGGGGAAACCCUGAUGCAGCGACGCCGCGUGGGUGAAGAAGCGCCUCGGCGCGUAAAGCCCUGUCAGCAGGGAAGAAAAUGACGGUACCUGAAGAAGAAGCCCCGGCUAACUACGUGCCAGCAGCCGCGGUAACAAGUAGGGGGCAAGCGUUAUCCGGAUUUACUGGGUGUAAAGGGGGCGCAGACGGUGAUGCAAGCCAGGAGUGAAAGCCCGGGGCCCAACCCCGGGACUGCUCUUGGAACUGCGUGGCUAGAGUGCAGGAGGGGCAGGCGGAAUGCCUGGUGUAGCGGUGAAAUGCGUAGAUAUCAGGAGGAACACCGGUGGCGAAGGCGGCCUGCUGGACUGCAACUGACGUUGAGGCCCGAAAGCGUGGGGAGCAAACAGGAUUAGAUACCCUUGUAGUC
Molecule: ribosomal RNA, 440 nt
Filed under: uncultured bacterium
Lineage: Bacteria
Description: partial 16S ribosomal RNA
Rfam family: Bacterial small subunit ribosomal RNA
Source: RNAcentral